AGGAGUUGGGGGAACCAUCAUGUGGCAGAAGUGGACUUGGAAUCACUGGAAGAGGGAAGGGAGAAUACGUAUAUGCUACUGUUAUAGAGCUGGUGAACAUUACUGCCAUGGCAGACACGACUAUUCACUCAUUCUGGUCAACAGAAUUUUUUGAGCAGUAAACUCCAGGUGGGCACUACCAAUCAGAAGUGCCACAGGGUUGCAGAUGCCUCAGGUUAUCAGCUGCCACAGCUUCAGAGAAGCCCUGAGGCAGGUAGCAUGAGGUGAUAGGGCAAGGCCUAAGGUGAAGCCCUGUCAUGUUAUAGCUGUGUGCAACUCAUCAAAGUCACCAGAACAAAAAAUGAGGCCAGAAACAGAAGAGAUCAUACUUAAAAGCCUGCCUUGGAAAGGAAACAGCUAUUCUCCGCUAAUAACAAAUUUAACUUAAGGAUUCAGAUUAUUGCCUCAAGCAACAGAAUGUACAACUACAUCAAAGACUUUGGCAUCGUGGUGGAAAAUGGACACCUGGUGAGAGAGACCAGCGAUGCUGCCUCUAGAUCACAGGCAGCUGGUGUCUGCAUGGACUCCGUGGGAGCUCUCUGAAGGCCGUCACUUGACUCUUGCAAGCAGCUGAGCCAGGUUUAACAAUGGCAGGUGCUUUGGACUAGGUGUGUGUCUUCUCUCAAUCCAUAUGUUGAGAUCCUACCUCCCACUGAAAUGUGAUGGGGCUUUGAAGUGGUGAUUAGGUCAUGGGAUCCCUCAUGAAAGGGAUUUGUGCCCUUAUAAAAGGGACCCCAGAGAGAUCUUAUUCCUUUGACCUCAUGUAAAGGCUCAGUGAGAAGACACAUCUGUGCAGCAGGAAGAGUCCUCAGGGACACUGAGGCUGUAGAACAUUCAGCUUGGACUCCCAGGCCCCAGAACUGCAAGAAAUACCUUUUGGUUGUUUACAAGCUACCCAGUCUAUGGGAAUUUUGUUCUCACAGCAUGAGCAGCCUGAAAUAUCAGCUGAAGACAAAGCAGA
Non-coding RNA from Ictidomys tridecemlineatus (thirteen-lined ground squirrel), 1000 nucleotides. NCBI's taxonomy places the organism in Eukaryota, Metazoa, Chordata, Mammalia, Rodentia, Sciuridae. The record is from RefSeq and is a predicted model, not a curated record.